CCUACGGGAGGCUGCAGUGGGGAAUAUUGCACAAUGGGGGAAACCCUGAUGCAGCGACGCCGCGUGAGUGAAGAAGUAAUUCGUUACGUAAAGCUCUAUCAGCAGGGAAGCAAUACUGACCUUACGGUCAGCUGACGGUACCUGCGUAAGAAGCCCCGGCUAACUACGUGCCAGCAGCCGCGGUAAUACGGAGGGGGCAAGCGUUAUUCGGAUUUACUGGGUGUAAAGGGAGCGUAGUCGGUGCGCCAAGUCUGGAGUGAAAUGCCGGAGCUUAACUGCGGAACUGCUUUUGAAACUGGCGAAAUAGAGUGCGGGAGGGGUAAGGGGAAUGCCUAGGGUAGCGGUGAAAUGCGUAGAUAUUAGGAGGAACACCGGUGGCGAAGGCGGCUUACUGGACCGUAACUGACGUUGAGGCUCGAAAGCGUGGGGAGCGAACAGGAUUAGAUACCCUGGUAGUC
This 458-nucleotide ribosomal RNA is filed under the name uncultured bacterium. RNAcentral's name for it is "partial 16S ribosomal RNA". It matches the Rfam family "Bacterial small subunit ribosomal RNA", at positions 338 to 795 of the family's 1533-position model. The record is from RNAcentral.